Molecule: long non-coding RNA, 735 nt
Filed under: Columba livia (rock pigeon)
Lineage: Eukaryota; Metazoa; Chordata; Aves; Columbiformes; Columbidae
Description: partial uncharacterized LOC102086107
Source: RNAcentral
GGUGGCAAAAGAGGUGAGAGGAAAACACCAAAUGGAAGAAAGAGAGGGCAAAGGGGAUUGAAGAGGGACCACAGUGAAGAUAACGUGAGCAGCAGAGGUGCGAGAGAGAAGGUGCCGUCGGCGUCCCCCGGGGCCGCAAUGAGCUGGGGCUCUAAUGAGCUGCGGCUGUAAGGAGCUGGUGGGGGCGCUGAGGGGAAGGUGCCUGGCGCUCAGCAUGUGCAGUCAUCCUGCUUAAGAGGAAAAAAUGUAAAGAAGGAUGGAUUAUUGACCAGUAACAAAGGCCUGACUCAAACAAAAGGUGGCUGAAGGUCUCGCUGAGCAUUCUGACCUUGACCUGCCCCAAACAAGGACAGAAACGGGUCUGUGUAUCACGGAGGAAGCAGAUCCGCCUCUCUGGAGUUCACCGUAUCCACACUGUGACAAAUGUUGGAAUAAUCUCAGGGAGGAUGUGCCCGUGUGUGCCCAGGCCCAAGAGCAGGAGCUGUCACCACAACCAGACUGGAGCCUCCACGGGACAACCUGUCCCAUCCAUGCACUACCUGUCCCAUCCAUGCACUACCUGUCCCAUCCAUGUCACCACAGCCAGCCUGGAGCCUCCAUGGGGCAACCUGUCCCAUCCACGUCACUGCAGGUUGUUUGUGACCUCCUGAGGCCCGCCACCAGAGUCCGGUUCUGUAUUCCGAGCACCGCAGGGUGGCCGGGCGGGACGACGUGCUCCGUUACUCCAGCAGCCUC